This 616-nucleotide ribosomal RNA is filed under the name Sphaerospermopsis sp. LEGE 08334. RNAcentral's name for it is "bacterial SSU rRNA". It matches the Rfam family "Bacterial small subunit ribosomal RNA", at positions 98 to 746 of the family's 1533-position model. The record is from RNAcentral. Lineage: Bacteria; Bacillati; Cyanobacteriota; Cyanophyceae; Nostocales; Aphanizomenonaceae.
UCGGACGGGUGAGUAACGCGUGAGAAUUUGGCUUCAGGUCGGGGACAACAGUUGGAAACGACUGCUAAUACCGGAUAUGCCGGAAGGUGAAAGGCUUGCUGCCUGAAGAUAAGCUCGCGUCUGAUUAGCUAGUAGGAGGGGUAAAAGCCCACCUAGGCGACGAUCAGUAGCUGGUCUGAGAGGAUGAUCAGCCACACUGGGACUGAGACACGGCCCAGACUCCUACGGGAGGCAGCAGUGGGGAAUUUUCCGCAAUGGGCGAAAGCCUGACGGAGCAAUACCGCGUGAGGGAGGAAGGCUCUUGGGUCGUAAACCUCUUUUCUCAAGGAAGAAGAAAGUGACGGUACUUGAGGAAUAAGCAUCGGCUAACUCCGUGCCAGCAGCCGCGGUAAUACGGAGGAUGCAAGCGUUAUCCGGAAUGAUUGGGCGUAAAGGGUCUGUAGGUGGUACUGAAAGUCUGCUGUUAAAGAAUCACGCUCAACGUGAUCAAAGCAGUGGAAACUACAGAACUAGAGUGCGGUAGGGGCAAAAGGAAUUCCUGGUGUAGCGGUGAAAUGCGUAGAUAUCAGGAAGAACACCGGUGGCGAAAGCGUUUGCUAGACCCGCAAACUGACAC